UACGUAGGGGGCAAGCGUUGUCCGGAAUUAUUGGGCGUAAAGAGCGCGUAGGCGGUCCGGUAAGUCGGCUGUGAAAGUCAAGGGCUCAACCCUUGAAAGCCGGCCGAUACUGUCGGACUAGAGUCCGGAAGAGGCGAGUGGAAUUCCCGGUGUAGCGGUGAAAUGCGCAGAUAUCAGGAGGAACACCUAUUGCGAAGGCAGCUCGCUGGGACGUAACUGACGCUGAGACGCGAAAGCGUGGGGAGCAAACAGG
RNAcentral lists this ribosomal RNA (253 nucleotides) under uncultured bacterium. Its description in RNAcentral is "partial 16S ribosomal RNA". It matches the Rfam family "Bacterial small subunit ribosomal RNA", at positions 524 to 776 of the family's 1533-position model. The record is from RNAcentral.